RNAcentral lists this ribosomal RNA (398 nucleotides) under uncultured eukaryote. Its description in RNAcentral is "partial 18S ribosomal RNA". It matches the Rfam family "Eukaryotic small subunit ribosomal RNA", at positions 592 to 976 of the family's 1831-position model. The record is from RNAcentral.
CAAUAGCGUAUAUUAAAGUUGUUGCAGUUAAAAAGCUCGUAGUUGGAUUUCUGGUGUCUUUUUGCGUUUCCUUCUUUGCCAGCGAAAUGCUGGUGUUGGUCGCAAUGGAUGCCUUCUUUCUCCGCUAAUUUGUCGCUGAAUCAUUAGUUUGGCUCGGUGAUGAAUGGGGAUCAUUUACUGUGAAAAAAUUAGAGUGUUCAAAGCAAGUAUUAUUUCUUGAAUACAUUAGCAUGGAAUAAUAAGAUAGGACUUGGGUAAUAUUUUGUUGGUUUGCAUAUCCAGGUAAUGAUUAAUAGGAACAUAUUGGGGAUAUCUGUAUUUUUUAGUCAGAGGUGAAAUUCUUGGAUUUAAGAAAGACAAACUACAGCGAAAGCAUUUAUCAAGGAUGUUUNCAUUGA